RNAcentral lists this unclassified non-coding RNA (440 nucleotides) under uncultured Gomphales. RNAcentral describes it as "sequence contains ITS2". The stretch from base 1 to 155 matches the Rfam family "5.8S ribosomal RNA". The record is from RNAcentral. Lineage: Eukaryota; Fungi; Basidiomycota; Agaricomycetes.
AACUUUUGGCAAUGGAUCUCUUGGCUUUCGCAGCGAUGAAGAACGCCGCGAAAGUGCGAAACGUAAUGUGAAUUGCAGAAUUCAGUGAAUCAUCGAAUCUUUGAACGCAUCUUGCGCUCCUUGGUAUUCCGAGGAUCAUGCCUGUUUGAGUGUCGUGUAUCCUCUCAACACCUCCCUUUUUUAGGGCUCUCGUGUUGGUUUUUGUCGUUUGCCGUUGGUUUCGACCUUAAGGCUCGUCUUGAAAUGCAUCAGCUGGUCGGCGGCGCGAUUUUGGUAUUAAACAACGGUGUGAUAAGAACCGCUUCGUGACUGUAGCGCCGUUUCGCCGACUCCGUUGGAGGGACUGCUUCCAACCGUCUUAGGACAAACCUUUCACUUCAUCUGACCUCAAAUCAGGUAGGACUACCCGCUGAACUUAAGCAUAUCAAUAAGCGGAGGCU